UACGUAGGGUGCGAGCGUUGUCCGGAAUUAUUGGGCGUAAAGAGCUUGUAGGCGGUUUGUCGCGUCUGCUGUGAAAAUCCGGGGCUCAACCCCGGACUUGCAGUGGGUACGGGCAGACUAGAGUGUGGUAGGGGAGACUGGAAUUCCUGGUGUGGCGGUGAAAUGCGCAGAUAUCAGGAGGAACACCGAUGGCGAAGGCAGGUCUCUGGGCCACUACUGACGCUGAGAAGCGAAAGCAUGGGGGAGCGAACAGG
This 254-nucleotide ribosomal RNA is filed under the name uncultured bacterium. RNAcentral describes it as "partial 16S ribosomal RNA". It matches the Rfam family "Bacterial small subunit ribosomal RNA", at positions 524 to 776 of the family's 1533-position model. The record is from RNAcentral.